UGGGGAAUAUUGCACAAUGGGCGCAAGCCUGAUGCAGCCAUGCCGCGUGUGUGAAGAAGGCCUUCGGGUUGUAAAGCACUUUCAGCGGGGAGGAAGGCGAUAAGGUUAAUAACCUUGUCGAUUGACGUUACCCGCAGAAGAAGCACCGGCUAACUCCGUGCCAGCAGCCGCGGUAAUACGGAGGGUGCAAGCGUUAAUCGGAAUUACUGGGCGUAAAGCGCACGCAGGCGGUCUGUCAAGUCGGAUGUGAAAUCCCCGGGCUUAACCUGGGAACUGCAUUCGAAACUGGCAGGCUAGAGUCUUGUAGAGGGGGGUAGAAUUCCAGGUGUAGCGGUGAAAUGCGUAGAGAUCUGGAGGAAUACCGGUGGCGAAGGCGGCCCCCUGGACAAAGACUGACGCUCAGGUGCGAAAGCGUGGGAGCAAACAGG
Molecule: ribosomal RNA, 428 nt
Filed under: Chloroflexota bacterium
Lineage: Bacteria; Bacillati; Chloroflexota
Description: Chloroflexi bacterium partial 16S ribosomal RNA
Rfam family: Bacterial small subunit ribosomal RNA
Source: RNAcentral